Molecule: ribosomal RNA, 253 nt
Filed under: uncultured bacterium
Lineage: Bacteria
Description: partial 16S ribosomal RNA
Rfam family: Bacterial small subunit ribosomal RNA
Source: RNAcentral
UACGAAGGAUCCAAGCGUUAUCCGGAUUUAUUGGGUUUAAAGGGUGCGUAGGCGGCCUAUUAAGUCAGUGGUGAAAGCCUGAUGCUUAACAUCAGAACUGCCAUUGAUACUGAUGGGCUUGAAUACACUUGAGGAGGGCGGAAUGUGUCAUGUAGCGGUGAAAUGCCUAGAUAUGACACAGAACACCGAUUGCGAAGGCAGCUUACUAAAGUAGCAUUGACGCUGAGGCACGAAAGCGUGGGGAUCAAACAGG